GAUGAACGCUGGCGGCGUGCCUAAUACAUGCAAGUCGAGCGAACAGACGAGGAGCUUGCUCCUCUGACGUUAACGGCGGACGGGAGAGUAACACGUGGAUAACCUACCUAUAAGACUGGGAUAACUUCCGGAAACCGGAGCUAAUACCGGAUAAUAUAUUGAACCGCAUGGUUCAAUAGUUAAAGACGGUUUUGCUGUCACUUAUAGAUGGAUCCGCGCCGCAUUAGCUAGUUGGUAAGGUAACGGCUUACCAAGGCAACGAUGCGUAGCCGACCUGAGAGGGUGAUCGGGCACACUGGAACUGAGACACGGACCAGACUCCUACGGGAGGCAGCAGUAGGGAAUGUUCCGGAAGGGGCGAAAGCCGGACAGAGCAACGACGCGUGAGUGAUGAAGGUCUUGGGAUGGUAAAACGCUGUUAUUAGGGAAGAACAAAUGUGUAAGUAACUAUGCACGUCGUGACGGUAGCAAAUCAGAAAGCCACGGCUAACUACGUG
Molecule: ribosomal RNA, 497 nt
Filed under: uncultured bacterium
Lineage: Bacteria
Description: partial 16S ribosomal RNA
Rfam family: Bacterial small subunit ribosomal RNA
Source: RNAcentral